UCGCGCACGACCUCGGCCACGGAGUUCUUCUCUUCCCCUUUCACCCAGGAGCAAUCGAUGUUUAGUUUGAAGCCAUUGCUGUCCGGCAAUCUCCACGAUUCAGGCGAAAGUCGGCUGCUGGUUCUCUUCUGCUCCUUACUCAAAACCCAUCUGGCGAAGGCCUUGACUUGUGCAUGGGCAAGAUAUGCUAUGGAAACAACUUUGGGAGGUUUGGAUCUGAAGACAUGGUCGUUCCGGAGCUUCUAGAUUAGCCAGAUCAUGCUGGCCACCAUUUCCACUGAGGAGGUUGAGGCACAGAUCAAGCCAUAUGUGUCGAGUUCUUUUGCAGAGGAAGAAGAGAUGCUAUGUUGUUUCAGGAUGCCGAGAACAGAGGGGGCACAAUGGAUCAGCACCAGGGGACUAUGAUCAAAACUUACCGCUGGGAGGGCGACAACUUUAACAUUUGGGAAGGUAAUUCUCCAAUCCAUAGAGGCUGGAAAGUGUAGGUUUGAAUAGAACAUUGCCACUGAGGCAGGGUGGAUUUCCUCUUUCAUUGAACAAAAGAAUUUGAAUUGAAGGGUCUCGAAAAGCUCAAAGAGAGAGAUUUUAUAAUUGUCUAAAAACUCAAAAUCAACAAAGCAGUGAGGAAUAUUACCUUGAUCGUAAAAAGCAGAUCAUACUCGAAAGUUUUAUCUUUUUCAAAAUCAAUAGUAGGUUCAAAAUUUUAAAAUACCCGGUCGUCAUCAUCUUUUCAACGCUCGUGUCUCAAGGCUUCUGCAAAUGGUUUCGUUAACCAUAGAGUCUCUUGCUUGGUGCUCCAUGCUAGUUAUGAUUAGCUUAGAAAUGCACAUUUACAAUCAAGAAUUUAGAUGGUACAUGCGCUUUAAAGUGAUCUAUGUUUUGGUGGGGGAAGCCAUGAUGCUCAAUCUCAUCCUCUCAAUGAGAGACCACUAUCAGCCAUGCCACAUAGUGGUCAGUGUCCACGUUAGUAUCACCAGUCAAAAUUAGU
Long non-coding RNA from Eucalyptus grandis, 988 nucleotides. RefSeq lists it as uncharacterized. Lineage: Eukaryota; Viridiplantae; Streptophyta; Magnoliopsida; Myrtales; Myrtaceae. The transcript has 3 exons. The record is from RefSeq and is a predicted model, not a curated record.